Long non-coding RNA from Crotalus tigris (Tiger rattlesnake), 3412 nucleotides. RefSeq lists it as uncharacterized. The transcript has 2 exons. Lineage: Eukaryota; Metazoa; Chordata; Lepidosauria; Squamata; Viperidae. The record is from RefSeq and is a predicted model, not a curated record.
UGCAACAAAACGCCAGAUCAAGUUAUAAAACAUCUGGCUGACCGCAUGACCAACCAUUGUAAUAACCACAAACAACAUUCCGGUUUCAAAUUUGGUACAUGCAAGGAUGUGAAGACAAAAUGAUUGCAAUUGUUAGCUUUUUUUACGUUUUCAUAUAACUCAGAAGAAAUAAGUAGAAGUAAUAGGACAUGCUGCAUGUGUAUUUAUGAAGGUGAAGUCCGCUCCUCUAGGUUGCGUGAAAGGGCUGGGAACGGGGUGGUUGGAGAGAGGAGCGUCUGACUGGGAAAUAGGUCUUUGACUCAGUGGAUGUUGUCAGAUUUAUUAAGGCAGAUCUUAACUAGUUCAAAUAAAUUUAAGGAGUUUCAAAACUGGUGAGAUUUUUACCCUUGAGCAAAAUGUUUCAUGCCAGGUGCCUUAUAGCCAACCCUUUUUAUUGUUGACAACCACAGGACGAACAGGAUUAAACACAAAGUUGCAGUUAAUAUAUAUGAUGAAGGUUGGACUUACUUGAGAAGCAAUUAAAUCCUAGUUUUUGUAAGCAGGGAAUCUGAGAUUAAGAUUUGUUUUUCUCAACAGCAGUGUGACUCUUCUACAACUUCAGUGCACAUUUGCCUCAGUGGUGUCCUUCCAGAAUAAAAUGCACAACUCUAAUGACUCAAUAUAAUUACAAUUAUUAUUUAAAUCCUUCAGAACAGGCUGUCCUCAAGGAGGGCGUUGAAAAAUUCAAGAUGGCAGCCACAUCUGUAAGAUCAAAGCCUGUCCCUUUUUAAAUGCAUGUUGUGCCUGCACACAUAGAAGGAAUUUUUUUUUAAAGUCCUGUUGAGGGCAAUUCCUGGCUCAGAAACUGAGCUUAAAAAGAAGCUAAAAUAGAUUGAGAUCAAUAGAUGAAAUAAUAUGAAGUUGUGCGUGAAGGCGUGUAAUGAAAGCAAUAGCUAAAAUACAGGAAAUCUCAUCUUUGCCUUCCCACAUUUGGUGUUUCAGACUUACUACUCUGAGAUAGCGGUGGACCUGUUUGAGGCAGUAAAUCAAGUUGCCCAAAAUCAUGAGCAGCAAUAGUAUAUAUUUUCCACCAGUUUUUGUUGGAAUGCCACAGAAAAUAGAUGCAUUCAAACUGUGAUAAGCUUGAUAUAUCUCUAAAUUUCCCUUCAAAAAAAACAUCCAAAACAAAAAAAGGAAAAAAGAAGAAAAAAGAUGGAGAUAGAUUUGGGUCAUCACCUGCCAUUUAGGUUCUUGGCAGCUAAAUAAACAAUUUCAAUCAUUGUGGAGCCCAUCUGCCAAAAGUUGCCUGCUUUACAAUUAAAUUAAAUUGUUAGUGAGUGGGAAGAGAGAAAUUAACACCAAGCUGUACAUUUUCAGCAUCAGAGUGAUGUUUUUGAUAAUACAUAGUUCUGCCUUGUGUAAUGCCACAUAAAUGGUUCCGCCUGUUUCUGAUAAUUGUGACAGACGUGUGUAUCAGCUAUACAUCUGGGAUUGGUCUGUUACACCAAAUAUUCCUAAUCUGUGCCAUAUGGAGCCUGGAGAGUGAUCGUCAGCUCUGAAUUUGCCAUGAAUUUCAGGGCACCUUCCUUCGGAGUAAAUAUAACAUGGGCUAUCUGAGGCACUACCUCUCCCCGUUACCUCAGCCUGCCCCGAUAGACUUUGCAGAGGUACCACCAGCAUUUGGGGGGGCCAGGAGACACGCCUUCCUUGCUGUGGGGCCCAUUUUAUGGAAUAUUAUCACACACACCAAAUUAGAUUCGCUCCAUCCCUUUUGGCAUUUUGGAAAUCCCUCAAGACCUUUUCAUUUAUGUAACCUAUUAAAAAUGCAAAAGUUUCUGAAAGUUCUUUACCGGGAAGUCAACUUUGUCUCAAACUGUUUUGCAUUUCAUAUUUUUUUCUCUGCAGUUGAGAUUGCAGAUUUCAAGAUGUCACCUAUUAGGAAGAAGGUAAACUCAAGAGUCUCCUGUCUUUCUCCACAAGAUCCUUCUCCACAUUGCCAAGAUUCAUCAGAACAGGAGACGCUUCGCCAGACUCACGUUCUUAAAAGAUGGGCCAUUAGAGCAAAUGCUGGUCGGAUCAGAGGUCAGAAAGUAUCCCUAGAUAAGUGUUGGAAUAACUCUGCUUUGCAGCGCCCGUUGUAAUUUCUUAGUAGAAAAAUACAUCAAAUGCAAAUUUAUCCUGGGAAUCUAAACAAGUGCAACAAGUGUCCUGUAGAAGCCUGAUAACAUAAAAAAACAGAUUUAUGAAUGUAUUUAUAUCCCACCUUUAUUAUUUUUACAAAUAACUCACAUUGUGGUUUCUAUCCGAUACCUGUGCUAGUAUCUGCUUUUCAAGAUUGGAAUCUCUCUUCUGUUGGCCCAAGAACUGUUCAGAUCCCCUUCACCUGCUGAUUAUAAUACUUCAAUUUCAAGGUUCUCUUAAGAGUGAACUCAUUAAAGUCCAAGGCUGAAGUGCAGAGAGUCUCUGUCCAGACAGUUCUGGGGUGGCAGAGAGGACCAGCCCCUGCCAGCAGUUCUUUGCUACUCUGGAGAGUUUGUGUUUUUGUCUUGCAGAUGCCGAGGAAACAACACUGCGAGUGGACGAGCAGCGGCUGCCUGCGAUUUAGACUGUCCUUUGGGGUGAGGUAGUAGGUUGUAUAGUUUUAGGGUGAGACCCUGCCUGUCAGAUAACUAUACAAUCUACUGUCUUUCCUGAAGUGGCUGUGAUAGCAACACCGGAGCAUCGUCCCGCCUUUCCAGAAGCCUCGUCAUUUUUGGUGCAUGAUGUGUUUUGAGUAUGAGAAAUUCAAGCCAGGUUACAGUCCAAGAGCCUGUUUCUUACAACAAACCCACUCUUUUAGCUAUAAUAUAUAUAUUGCAACUCGUGAUUACAAAGGAAGCCCAAAAGGACAUGACCAAGUCAUGUGAGUCAAAAUAUCCUCCGAUUUCUCAGGACCUGAUCUGCCAUGCAAGGAGGAGCCAGACCCAGCAUGAAGGAUGAAGGUCAGCUGAAGCGUCACCCGGCUUUCCAGCAGGGUGAGGUAGUAGGUUGUGUGGUUUCAGGGUAGUAAUUUUGCCCCAAUCAGGAGUUAACUAUACAACCUACUGCCUUCCUUGAGGAACAGCUUUGCAGCCUCUCUGAACACUGAGCAGUACAAGCCUACAUCGGUUUGAUGCUACGUUCACAUUCCUGCUUUAUGCAAAACAAAACAAACAAGGACUGGGAAGAAGCUGAGAAUUUCCUAGCAGAAAAGGAGAAUUACAACUUUUCAUCCCGUUCAGACACCUUCUUCAAGUUUUCACUAUUUCAGGACAAAUGUAUACGUGAGUAUUAAAUCAUUCUCUUUGUCAGAGCCUUUGUAUCAAUAAAUCCCACUGUGUUUGCCAGUCAAGGCAUGUUUCUAGAAAGACUCUAAAUUAUCUCAACACUGGAAUAAAAGGUUUUGUGUUUUCAA